Molecule: non-coding RNA, 105 nt
Organism: Zea mays
Lineage: Eukaryota; Viridiplantae; Streptophyta; Magnoliopsida; Poales; Poaceae
Source: Rfam
GUGCUCUGAGUUGCGCGGAGGCUGAAAAAGCUCGGAGAGCGUGUGUUGUCAUCAGCUUCGUCUCUGUUUACUGUGAGUUGGGAGUUAAAUAACAGCACGAGAUUC